AGCUACAGUAUAUGACUAUGUUCCCACUUGGCGUCUUUUGUUAAGCUGCCAGCGUCUGUUUCACAUUAUAAUCCAAUGGAGUAAAA
Etheostoma spectabile (orangethroat darter) is the source of this 86-nucleotide long non-coding RNA. RefSeq lists it as uncharacterized. The record is from RefSeq and is a predicted model, not a curated record. The transcript is spliced from 3 exons. NCBI's taxonomy places the organism in Eukaryota, Metazoa, Chordata, Actinopteri, Perciformes, Percidae.